GGCAAGGCCCCUGUCAACAGAUCUACAAAAGAAACAGCUACUCCCAAGAGUUCAUAUAAAGAAAUUGUCAACUAGCACAGAAGUCCUGAUUGGGCCGUCAAGGCCACCAUGAUCUCUAUACCAAAACUGAAAGCAUGUAUAUAACAAGACAAUGCAUCACACAACUAACAAGCUUCAGCAAACCAACAAACUAGGCCAGCAUGGCCAUAACGUAGUUAUAAACCCCACACACUAGUCUGCAAGCCUCUAAGAG
Molecule: long non-coding RNA, 253 nt
Filed under: Solanum tuberosum (potato)
Lineage: Eukaryota; Viridiplantae; Streptophyta; Magnoliopsida; Solanales; Solanaceae
Description: long non-coding RNA (STUB_LNC008207)
Source: RNAcentral